CGGUAGGUAAACUCUGAUAAGCCCGAGAGGGGAAAGUGGAAGGCAGCCUUGGGAUGGACCUACUAUCCAUCAGGUAGUUGGUGAGGUAAAGGCUUACCAAGCCGAUGACGGAUAACCGGUGUGAGAGCAUGUACGGUCACAAGGGCACUGAGACACGGGCCCUACUCCUACGGGAGGCAGCAGUGGGGAAUAUUGGACAAUGGGCGAAAGCCUGAUCCAGCGACGCCGCGUGAAGGAAGAAGUCCUUCGGGAUGUAAACUUCUGAACUAAUCGAAUAAAAGGGUAGUGGACACACUACAGAAGAAGGUAGAUUAGGAAAAGUCCCGGCUAACUACGUGCCAGCAGCCGCGGUAAGACGUAGGGGGCGAGCGUUGCCCGGAAUCACUGGGUGUAAAGGGGACGUAGGCGGAUGAUCAAGUCAUCUGUGAAAAGAUUGCUCAACGAUUGGCUUGCGGAUGAAACUGGUCAUCUUGGGCGUAGCAGAGGUAGACGGAAUUACCUGAGUAGGGGUGAAAUCCGCAGAUACAGGUAAGAAGGCCGGUGAAGAAGUUGGUCUACUGGGCUACAGCUGACGCUGAGGUCCGAAAGCCAGGGGAGCGAACCGGAUUAGAUACCCGGGUAGUCCUGGCUGUAAACGAUGCUCACUAGGUGUAGGGAGCGAAAGACUCUCUGUGCUGAAGCGAACGCGCUAAGUGAGCCACCUGGGGAGUACGUCCGCAAGGAUGAAACUCAAAGGAAUGACGGGGGUCCGCACAAGCGGUGGAGCAUGUGGUUUAAUUCGAAGCUAACCGAAGAACCUUAC
Molecule: ribosomal RNA, 802 nt
Filed under: uncultured Petrotoga sp.
Lineage: Bacteria; Thermotogati; Thermotogota; Thermotogae; Petrotogales; Petrotogaceae
Description: bacterial SSU rRNA
Rfam family: Bacterial small subunit ribosomal RNA
Source: RNAcentral